Dermacentor andersoni is the source of this 799-nucleotide long non-coding RNA. RefSeq lists it as uncharacterized. NCBI's taxonomy places the organism in Eukaryota, Metazoa, Arthropoda, Arachnida, Ixodida, Ixodidae. The record is from RefSeq and is a predicted model, not a curated record.
GCAAGUUUCAAAUGACUGCGCCGUGAAGGUAGUCCCUUGUAACAACAUAUACAUUUAUGGCACUUAGUCGGAACGUUGGUGGUGCGUUAAGGCAGUGUUUUGGUCGGAAAUGGGCGGUUAUGUCACACGACAGGAGCAGAUGGUUUUGUACCCUAUGGGCAAAGGGCACAUUGACUUGAAGAAGCGCCGUAUUUAAACCGUAAAGCAAUCUAUUACAGCUGGAGCAUAGAGAAAGAAAUCCUACAAGAGGAGACACUCGGCGAAAACUGGUAACAGGAGAUACGUUACGGUAGUAUUAACGCCGACCGUUUGCUGUUCCGAGCAUCGAAAAAAAAAAAGAGGAUGUGAAAUGAAGUUAACAGGCACGGUUUCAUUUUUUUAUUGUUUCCCAGCAAAACUAAAAAUAUCUGCGUAUAAAUUACAUUAUACUUUGCGGCUUACUUUUCUUCCGUUGCCUAGCGACAGGCGAAUGACGAGCCAGAUGCAUGCGUCAUUCGUCAGACACGCCGCCGAAGCGAACGAGACCGGCUACGCAUAUGAACGUUGGUCUGUUCGGCGACCCGUCUGCCUGUUUUUCUAUUUUUAAAUUUAGCCUAGUUUGUUGGGCUCCCGGCGAAUUCUUGUGUUCUUUCUGCACUUCGACACGGCACCCCUGCACUAUUGGACUACGGCAAGCUGACGUCGUCCGGUGGAGCUUCCUACGGGAACUACUGCUGCUUACCUGGUGCCACAACGUUCAAUGCACAAAGCCCACAACAACAUUUAUAUAGAAUAAAAUAAACUUUUCCUCAUUUCAGAA